RNAcentral lists this long non-coding RNA (386 nucleotides) under Homo sapiens (human). RNAcentral's name for it is "non-protein coding lnc-ADCY1-3:1". The record is from RNAcentral. Lineage: Eukaryota; Metazoa; Chordata; Mammalia; Primates; Hominidae.
AAGACCAACGAGCCACCACAGCCACCAGUCCCAGAACCCGCCAAUGCUGGGGAACGGAAAAUGAGGGAGUUCAACUCUGAGAAAUGGAAUAAUCGUAUCGCUGAUCUACGUAAACAAAUUGAAGAAUUGUCUGAAAGAAAGUAUGACAUGAACUUAUGAAUUCAACAGGUGAAGAUUUACAACUUGAUAAAUCAGCUUCGUGAGCUCGAGCUGUAAAAGCCAAAGGUCCGGUGAUGAUCCCAUACCCUUUUUUCCAGUCUCAUGUUGAAGAUUUUUAUGUAGAAGGCCUUCCCAAAGGAAGGCUUUCUACUAAUGGAAUUCCUGGCCUUGAGAGGAUAUUACUUUCGAAGGAAAGGAUUUUUUUGUUAUUAAAAGGUAAGAUUCUU